Long non-coding RNA from Triticum dicoccoides, 2074 nucleotides. RefSeq lists it as uncharacterized. Lineage: Eukaryota; Viridiplantae; Streptophyta; Magnoliopsida; Poales; Poaceae. The transcript has 2 exons. The record is from RefSeq and is a predicted model, not a curated record.
CAACUCCUCGAACCAUCUGGAAACAAAUCGACAGCGCUGGAAUCGAUCUGGCCGGGUGGUCGCUGUCGCCGAUGUCCUUCCCCAGUGCCUCUCAUGCCCCUCAACUCCACCGCCCACCACCAUGAUGGCCCUCCAGCUCGACGCCCUCUCCACCCCUUGCCUCUCUCCUUCGGUGCCGACCUCGGCAAGCAUGCGCCGAUGUCGUCCGCCUGCCGAUGCCUCUCCUGCAUCCUCUACUGAUGCCUCCAUUCCAGCGCUCCCACCUCCAUCUACCCGUCCUCGUCUUCAUCCCCUCCACCGCCCCCUGUAUUACCAGCCACCGCACGUAUGCCGCGAGCGUCAUCCGUGCCCCAACGCCUCCCCUGCUUCCACCCUUUCUUACAGCAGCACCCGACAACGACCUCUACAAGUAUGCUGCCGGCUGCCCGCUGCUCAUCCUUGGUGUUGGUGGCGUCAUCUACUGCAUAACUGCAGCAUGCUUCAUACUUCAUGGUGUUUGACAAGUUGUCGGUGUAUAUUAUUUUCCCACUACUAUCAACUACAAGUUUCGAACCUUAUUAUUAGGCAUGCUUGUUGUGACAGGCUCUUGGCAAAUACUCCGAAAUGCUUUUGUAUUUUAAGAUUUUGAUUCUUUUUUCGUUAACCUUCCCUUUUGUUUUUGGGCGAAAGCACACAGGUCUUACGCCAAAAUGUUACAACCCUGAAUGUGAGUGGAUCAUUACUUUCACUUGAUAAGUGUGUUGUUUGGUCAUUUUUGUGUUCAUACUGAAGUGAUUUAGUGGCUGGUUUGCAGGAUAGCUUAAUUUGCGAGAAAGUAUUAUCUUUGCAAUGUGGUUGUCAAUGCAUAUUAAGGUUGCUUCAUAAUUCAAACAUUUACAUGUGCAUAAAAAUUGUGUAUUUUGGUACAAGGUAAAACUAUAAAUUAUUCCUUCCUUUAUGCGCAUGCUGUGAUGGUCAGGAGGCUUGAUGUUUCAUGUCACAAAGAAACCGACCAAGUACUUACUUCCCUGUAUGCUAUCGAACUGACCAAAUGGAAUUUGCCACCUUUUAAGAGUAGUGGAAAUUAUUUGGCUAGCAAAUUUUUGCUGGGUGGUUUACUUAUGCAAAGCUAGAAUUUUGGUUAGGAUUAAUGGUAACCUUUGAGCAGCUUGAUGUGUCUGAUGGUAAUUGCAAACUACUGCAUAAGAGCGUCCCAUCAAUUUUGAUGUGCGUAGGGCAAUUGUACUUCUGAAUUUUCUCAAAGAAAUCUACAUUGUAGGGUUCAACUAUUUCUAAAUUAUGGGGUUGCGACAACAAGGGCGAGGUGCAUGAGCAUCACACAAAGAUGGGCAAUCGCGAGGAAUGUAGGAAUCGGCAAGGUGUUGCAUUGCGGUUACUGCUGCAAGGUUGACUAUGGAGGUUACUACUCCUAACUUAAUUCAUUUUGCUCGUCCAUAGAAGCUUUACUUGCUUUCUAAAUCUUCCAUCCACAUUUGUUGCCAUAAGUGAUGCAUGAUCUUGAGGAGUAACUAUUUCAAUACCUUAUGUUUUCUGCUCAAGCACUAAUAAUUUUUAUUUGAAUGUGCAUACCCAAUGUGUGGAUGUGUGGUAACCCUUUCGGUGAUGUUGGUUGGUGCCUACCCUUUCGAGGAUCCAGAAGAUCCCAGGAACUUCAAAUGACAAUGCAGUUUUGUGAGAACAAUGGAGCAAGGAGGGCAUGCGGCAAAAUUGUCUCUAUAGUAUCCACUUGCAGAAGGUUUCUCUCUAGAAGUUCUAAUUGAGAAUGACAUGUAGAAAUGGGUGCAACAUUAUAAUACCCAUCUCACCAUCUGAUAUGUGGUCUAAGAAGGAUGAAUAAUGAUAGCCAGUGCAUGGUUGCUUUCUCAUGAUUUCAACACAUGCUCUCCAUCUAUUUAAUGUUUUAUGCCCAGAUUCUUGUAUAUUUACAUCCUACAGAUUAAUCUAUUUUAAUUACAUUCUUGUGCAAAAGUGUAAAUUCACGCAUGUCAUUGUAAUGUUAUAUUUGUAAUCUGCUGAGGAACCAUUUUUGGAGCCUUUUGGAAUAGAGGAAUGGAUUCAGUAAACAUGAAUUUCA